Long non-coding RNA from Columba livia (rock pigeon), 1236 nucleotides. RefSeq lists it as uncharacterized. Lineage: Eukaryota; Metazoa; Chordata; Aves; Columbiformes; Columbidae. The transcript has 3 exons. The record is from RefSeq and is a predicted model, not a curated record.
CCAGAGGGGUCCGGCACCUUGUCCGCGGGGUCCCGGCGCCCGCCCGCCCAGCACCGACAAACCCCGGCGGCGGGGGGGGCACCGACCGACCCCGCGAGCCCGGCGCGCCGGCCCCCGCGGGCUUGUGUGUCUCCCCGAGAAGGGAGAGAGUCCCCGCGGGCAGGGCUGGCCGGCCGUCCCUCCCCGCUGGCUUCGGGGCGUCCCUGCCCCGCUGUUCCCGGCGGGGUCCCGCUGUGCCCCGCUCCUCUCCGGGGGGUCCCGCUGUCGCCCCGCUCCAGCGCUCAGGACAACACGAAGCCGGAGCGGGCAGAGCCCCCGGCCGUCCCCGCUGUCCCUCCUCACGUUCCCCGCCCAGCCGAGGGUCCGUCAGCUCCCGGCUCUGCCGCAGCCCGGGUUCCCCAUCCGACCCGCUCAUUCCCGGAUCACCGGCGCCGGGACGGGUCCCUGUUCGCGGGAGGAGUCCCCCCGCGCUGCCUGACCCGUCCCCCCGUGUCCUGCCCCAGGGCUGUUUGUGCUGGAGCACCACAGCCUGCCCCACGCCAGGUCGGCUUUCCUGACCCCGGAGCAGCUGGGAGGGAUCCAGUUCGACCUGCAGCUGCUGUGGAGCGCUCAGACCUUCGACUCGCCCUCCCAGCUCUGGAGAGCGACCAGCUCCUACAACAGGUUCUUGAUCCCCAUCGCCUUCCAGCAGACAAACCGCCCCGGUUCCUGUCGUCUGCUCCCUGAACACGGAGUUCCAGCUCUGCAACAACGAGAAGGUGUUUCUGAUGGAUGCCACCAAACCCGGAAUGUCCCUGGCAGAAAUGGAUUACAAAGGGGCUUUUUCAAAGGGGCAAAUCCUUUACGGCCGCGUGCUCUGGAACCCCGGACAGAACCUGAACGCCGCCUACGAGCUGCAGCUGGAAAAGGUCUAUCUGUGCACGGGCAAGGACGGGCACGUGCCUUUCUUCGACCCGACCGGCACCGUCUAUAACGAGGGGCCCCGGUACGGCUGCAUCCAGCCCAACAAGCACCUGAAGCACCGAUUCCUGCUCUUGGUAAGCGUUCCGCUGCCCACAGAACCACCGUGUCGAGCGUUGCGAGGCUCUGGCAGGAUUUUAUAUCCCGAUUUCCCCAGACGGGCCGUAUUUGUCCCCCAGUGGACUGUGUCUGUUGUACCGUAAAUGAACAGCGGAGCCAGGUACCAAACAAACUCUAGCACGGGAAAGAGAGGUGAGGAAUUUAUUGUGGUGAUGA